This 257-nucleotide ribosomal RNA is filed under the name uncultured bacterium. RNAcentral's name for it is "partial 16S ribosomal RNA". It matches the Rfam family "Bacterial small subunit ribosomal RNA", at positions 1238 to 1500 of the family's 1533-position model. The record is from RNAcentral.
UACAGGCGGGAAGCCAUGGCGGCGACGCAGAGCCGGAACCCGAAAACCUGUCUCAGUUCGGAUUGGAGUCUGCAACCCGACUCCAUGAAGCUGGAUUCGCUAGUAAUCGCGCAUCAGCCACGGCGCGGUGAAUACGUUCCCGGGCCUUGUACACACCGCCCGUCAAGCCAUGGAAGCCGGGAGUGCCUGAAGUGCGUGAGCGCAAGCAGCGCCCUAAGGUAAAACCGGUGACUGGGGCUAAGUCGUAACAAGGUAAC